UACGUAGGGGGCAAGCGUUGUCCGGAAUCAUUGGGCGUAAAGCGCGCGUAGGCGGCCAGAUAAGUCCGGUGUGAAAGUCACAGGCUCAACCUGUGAAUGCCGCUGGAAACUGUCUGGCUCGAGUCCGGGAGGGGCGAGUGGAAUUCCUGGUGUAGCGGUGAAAUGCGCAGAUAUCAGGAGGAACACCAAUGGCGAAGGCAGCUCGCUGGAACGGUACUGACGCUGAGGCGCGAAAGCGUGGGGAGCGAACAGG
This 253-nucleotide ribosomal RNA is filed under the name uncultured bacterium. Its description in RNAcentral is "partial 16S ribosomal RNA". It matches the Rfam family "Bacterial small subunit ribosomal RNA", at positions 524 to 776 of the family's 1533-position model. The record is from RNAcentral.